This 2171-nucleotide long non-coding RNA is filed under the name Homo sapiens (human). RNAcentral describes it as "HSALNT0038753". The record is from RNAcentral. Lineage: Eukaryota; Metazoa; Chordata; Mammalia; Primates; Hominidae.
UUGCUUUUCCUGUUCCAGCUUUUUCACGCACAGUCAGGACCCCCCUGGAACUUCAUCUACUGCCAGCUCCCCCAUUCCCCUCCCACGAGUGUGGGUGGCCCUCUUAGCCUCUGACCGCAUACUGGAACCUGCGGAGGCAGUGUUACCAGACCUGAGGUCUUCCUCUGCAUUUCAUUUGCUGUUCCCUGGCCUGCAAUGCCCCUUCCUUCCCACCUCCCCCGAGGGCCUAGCAGCCCCUCCUACACAGCCCUCUAGCCCCUCUGUGCUCAAAGUGCAUCUGAGGACAUCACCUGAGAGCUGUAGGAGAUGCAGGAUCUCAGGCCCCACCCCAAACCUACUGAAGCCAAAUCUGCUGUUUAACGUGAUCCCUGGAGAUUCAUAAGCAUGUUGUCUGUGCAGCACGGAGUGAGGGGCGGCUCCUCUUCGCUGCACCCCUUCCUGAUUACCCCUAGGCCCAGCCAAAUAAACUCUUCUUCCUGCUCCCUUGUGCCCCAUUUGGACUUCACUCGUAACAAGGGAGUAUAACUGGAUGGUAAAAGGGACUUUUCCUGUUAUCUAGACAUUUCAGCAGAGGCCUCAAAGGCAGAACAAAAUAGUGCAAGGAGCCGCACAUCCGCACAGUGCUGAGACCCUGCCCAGGACAAGCUUGGCCGCAGUAUUCCCUUUGGCACCCCCACCCACCUGGAACAAAGCCUGAUGUAAAGUCUGGGUGCGACUCAGACCGGCCUGGGAAAGAAUUUAUUUAAUAAAUGGUGGAAAGUGGCUUCCUUGACGUGUCUUCGAUGGCUUUUUUAUAAAGCAUUUGGUUUGUCUACUCGUCUGUUUUUGCGCCAUCUCUUUCCACAAAGAUGGCUUAUAGCAGGGAUACUUACAACAAAAUGAUGCUGGGAAAACAAAAACAAAGAAGUAGAGAAUUAGGCCUGAGAAAACUAGGAGUAGAGAGUCACGAUUAGAUACAGAGGAGCAUAGAUGUGUAGUCUAGGAAGGCCAACUAAUUGUUAUAGCUGAAAUUCAAAUUCAGUUAGCUAAAAUGUUCCUAGUGUCAAAGGAAGAAUGGGCCACACAGUUGCAUAAUCCUUAGUAUUAGGGAGAAGGAAAAGGUUCCAGUUAUUCAGAGGGAUGUUCUCUUGCCUUAUUCCUUUAAUAAGUAUCUGUUAAAGGCCCACCAUGUGCCAAGCACCAUGCCCGGCAAGCACUGCACUCACCCCCCAGGAACUCAGUGUCUAAAGGAGACUGGGUGAAAGAACUAUAUUUGUGUGCCUAUGAUGUGUCAAAUACUAUGCAUUUAGUUAUGCAGUUACUGUAUGUUAGACACUAUGCAUUUAAUUAUUUACCUGCUGUAUAUCAGACACCAUGCAUUUUCAUUUAACCCUCAUAAGCACUUACAUCAAGUAGACACUGUUACCUCUUUUUUACAGAUGAGAAAACAGAGUCUCUUCCCGCAGCUGGUCAUCUGGCGUAACUUGCUCCUUUCCCACCCCAGGACUGUCAUCUCAGGGAGCCUGUUCUGGUGACUUCUGGAAAGGCCUGGACUCCUUUGUUCCAUGGAGUCAUCAGGUAACUACGAAGAGUCCUCAGUUUGCUUUUCCCCAGCGCCUUGUCGAGCUUCCUUGGGUGUCCCAGGUCUUGCUGUGUUCAGUGCGGCUUGGGUCAUACUUGGUCUUCUUGGGCAAUGACAAAGGUGGCUUUUAGUUAGGGAAGGAAGACAGCCUCAGAAGGGAGAAGCCUAUCAGUAUUUCAAGCCCCAGGCGAUGUGAAAAACUGAGCCUUUGUUUGGGAGUGUCAGCCCCCAGGACUUGCGUGUUUCUGCCCUGAAGCGUUUUCUGCUUUCUGAAGGCUGCAGUUCUCUUCCUCGUUUUAUUGACUGCCUACGUGCCAGGGGCUUUGUGAAUAUUACCGCACUGAAAUUCCCAAUACCCAGCAAGAAGGCAUUAUUAUCCUUAUUUUACAGAUGAGAAAAUAGAGAUUAAACAACUUACUUAACUGUUUGAACUCCGUGGGGCACAAACAUGAAAUGAUUCUAUUUUUUCUCCAGAUCUUUUUAGAGAUUUAUACCAAAUCUCCUUUUCAUAAUUCCAUAGCUUUUUGGUUGUUUUUAGGUAUUAAAAAACCCCUAUGGUCCAGUCCACUUUCUUUUCAAAGCCUCAAAUCUUGAAUCCGAUAUCAUAUCC